UCCGUAGGCGGGCAAUUAAGUCAGAGGUGAAAUCCCACAGCUCAACUGUGGAACUGCCUUUGAUACUGGUUGUCUUGAGUUAUAGUGAAGUAGAUAGAAUAUGUAGUGAAGCGGUGAAAUGCAUAGAUAUUACAUAGAAUACCGAUUGCGAAGGCAGUCUACUAACUGUAUACUGACGCUAAUGGACGAAAGCGUGGGGAGCGAACAGGAUUAGAUACCCUGGUAGUCC
RNAcentral lists this ribosomal RNA (229 nucleotides) under uncultured bacterium. RNAcentral describes it as "partial 16S ribosomal RNA". It matches the Rfam family "Bacterial small subunit ribosomal RNA", at positions 568 to 796 of the family's 1533-position model. The record is from RNAcentral.